This 253-nucleotide ribosomal RNA is filed under the name uncultured bacterium. RNAcentral's name for it is "partial 16S ribosomal RNA". It matches the Rfam family "Bacterial small subunit ribosomal RNA", at positions 524 to 776 of the family's 1533-position model. The record is from RNAcentral.
UACGGGGGGGGCAAGCGUUGUUCGGAAUUACUGGGCGUAAAGGGCUCGUAGGUGGCCAACUAAGUCAGACGUGAAAUCCCCGGGCUCAACCCGGGAACUGCGUCCGAUACUGGAAGGCUUGAAUCCGGGAGAGGGAUGCGGAAUUCCAGGUGUAGCGGUGAAAUGCGUAGAUAUCUGGAGGAACACCGGUGGCGAAGGCGGCAUCCUGGACCGGUAUUGACGCUGAGGUGCGAAAGCGUGGGGAGCAAACAGG